AGUCGCGCGACAAGUCUUCAUUAGCUUGCUAUUGAAGAUGGAGGAGCGGCGAAAGGGUGAGUAACGCGUGGAUACCUACCCCCAGGCCCGGGAUAGCGUUGGGAAACCGACGGUAAUACCGGAUAACAUCUCCGGAUCAAAGGUGUGAUUCCGCCUGAGGAUGGGUCCGCGUCCUAUUAGCUUGUUGGUGGGGUAAAGGCCUACCAAGGCGAAGAUGGGUACCGGGUGUGAGAGCAUGGCCCGGCACACUGGGACUGAGACACUGCCCAGACACCUACGGGUGGCUGCAGUCGAGAAUCUUCCGCAAUGGGCGAAAGCCUGACGGAGCGACGCUGCGUGCGGGAUGAAGGCCUUCGGGUUGUAAACCGCUGUCAGUGGGGAGCAAAUCGUUGGGGGCUAUCCCCUUUCGUUGAGCGAUCCACAGAGGAAGCGCAGGCUAAGUUCGUGCCAGCAGCCGCGGUAACACGAACUGCGCGAACGUUAUUCGGAAUCACUGGGCUUAAAGAGUCCGUAGGCGGCUCGGUAGGUGGGGUGUGAAAGCCCACGGCUCAACCGUGGAACUGCGCUCCAAACCAUCGGGCUUGAGGGAGAUAGAGGAGAGCGGAACUGAUGGUGGAGCGGUGAAAUGCGUUGAUAUCAUCAGGAACACCGGUGGCGAAAGCGGCUCUCUGGGUCUCUUCUGACGCUGAGGGACGAAAGCUAGGGGAGCGAACGGGAUUAGAUACCCCGGUAGUCCUAGCUGUAAACGAUGAGCACUAGAUCGAGGGGACUCUCACAUCUUCUUGGUCGUAGCGAAAGUGUUAAGUGCUCCGCCUGGGGAGUAUGGUCGCAAGG
RNAcentral lists this ribosomal RNA (834 nucleotides) under uncultured bacterium. RNAcentral describes it as "bacterial SSU rRNA". It matches the Rfam family "Bacterial small subunit ribosomal RNA", at positions 60 to 893 of the family's 1533-position model. The record is from RNAcentral.